CAGCAGCCGCGGGAAUACGUAGGGUGCAAGCGUUAAUCGGAAUUACUGGGCGUAAAGCGUGCGCAGGCGGUCCGCUAAGACAGAUGUGAAAUCCCCGGGCUUAACCUGGGAACUGCAUUUGUGACUGGCGGGCUAGAGUAUGGCAGAGGGGAGUAGAAUUCCACGUGUAGCAGUGAAAUGCGUAGAGAUGUGGAGGAAUACCGAUGGCGAAGGCAGCCCCCUGGGCCAAUACUGACGCUCAUGCACGAAAGCGUGGGGAGCAAACAGGAUUAGAUACCCGAGUAGUCCCUGUCUCUUAUAC
This 301-nucleotide ribosomal RNA is filed under the name uncultured bacterium. RNAcentral's name for it is "partial 16S ribosomal RNA". It matches the Rfam family "Bacterial small subunit ribosomal RNA", at positions 509 to 807 of the family's 1533-position model. The record is from RNAcentral.